This 372-nucleotide ribosomal RNA is filed under the name uncultured bacterium. RNAcentral's name for it is "bacterial SSU rRNA". It matches the Rfam family "Bacterial small subunit ribosomal RNA", at positions 525 to 896 of the family's 1533-position model. The record is from RNAcentral.
ACGGAGGGGGCUAGCGUUGUUCGGAAUUACUGGGCGUAAAGGGCGCGUAGGCGGCUUGCUAAGUCGGUGGUGAAAUCCCGUGGCUCAACUACGGAACUGCCAUCGAUACUGGCGAGCUUGAAUCCGGGAUAGGUCGGCGGAAUUGCUGGUGUAGCGGUGAAAUGCGUAGAUAUCAGCAGGAACACCGAUGGCGAAGGCAGCUGGCUGGACCGGUAUUGACGCUGAGGCGCGAAAGCGUGGGUAGCAAACAGGAUUAGAUACCCUGGUAGUCCACGCCCUAAACGAUGGAUACUUGGUGUGACCGGCGCAGUGCCGGUUGUGCCGCAGCUAACGCAGUAAGUAUCCCGCCUGGGGAGUACGAUCGCAAGAUUG